GUCUGUAAUAUAGAAGUCUGAAAUCAAGGUGUCAGCAGCACCAUGCUCUCUUGAAAUCUUUAGAAGAGGAUCCUUCCUUGCCUCUUCCUAGCUUCUGGUGGUCCGCAGGCAAUCUUUGGUGUUCCUUGGUCUCACAUCGAGGUCACGCUGAUGAAAAAGGAACUACAGUACUGUUAUGUCAGUAACAUACAUCACAGUCGUACGUCUCCAGGCUUCUUAUCUUCCUUUGAACCUGACCUGGCUACUGUUUGGUGGAUUAUAGAGGAAAAGCUGUAAUGGGAAAGUAGGUUGGGUGAAGGGAUGAGAAAAAGGAAAGCAUCGUGGAGCACAUUAGCAGGCUUUCUCCAUGAAGAAGCAGGAUGAGUACCUUCUCACUGCCAAAGUAGUUGGAGGGACAUCAAACACCAGUGAUGGGAACACUGAACCUCACAUAAGGGGCAAUGCAGCAUCUCUGCCUUCUUCUGGGUAUUCCUCUUAAAUGGCUUGACAAUAACCACCAACCAGCACUGCCAUACAUGUGUCCUGUACCUAUCAGAGGCACUAGGGCAGUUUUGGAACAGAGAGCCCAUAGAAAGGCUACUGCUUAGAGAUAGCCAUUUUCUUCUUGGAGCUGGACCAGUGAAUUAGACGCAUGGAGGAGAGCUGGAAAAUCCCUUUUUGGAAGAGCUACACAAAACCAAAAUUUGGAAUUCGUAGCUAAUAACCAUAAAAAUUAAGAAAUGACUGUUGGAAGAGCACUGGAAAUCACCUGAUUAAGUUAAGAAAAACUAACUAGCUCAUGAGAAAAUUAUUUUCAGGCCAGCUGUAGCCUGUACCCUUUUGAAAAUCCCCUGACUAGUGAGUUCAUUUUUGUUGGAAUAUAGAAUUUUUCUUUUCUAAGCAGAUGUAAACUUGUCUUUCUGUGGUUGGCUUUGGAGCCCACAAGAUAAUUAAAUGGCAGUGCUAACUGAAAGCCUGGGCUGUGCUUAUAGGUUCAAGAGGCAGGUAGAAGACACUGGGUUGGGGAAGUAGGGCUAUGGAACUGUGGCUCUGGCUAAGAUUACUAAUGUCUGUGAGCGCUGGAAGAAGGGAAAUAGAAAUGAAAAAACAUGAAUAUGGUUGAUGGGCCAGACUGAGUGUUGAGGUCCUAUGAUGUAUCAAAGAAUGGCUUACAUGAAAGUUAUAAGGUGUGGAUGGAAAAGGUCAGUGUGGAAGAGAACAGAAUUACUAGCUUUAAAGCUCAGAGACAUCUGCUUUUCAGGAAAAAAAAAUACAAAAGUCUAUGAGUGAAGGAAGGAGACUAAGAGAAAGAAAGGUGAGGAAAAGAGGAAGAGAAUAAAAAGGAACAGAAAUGAGAAAAAUAUGACACAAGAAAAAAAGAAAAAUUAGGAGGAAGGAAAGAAGAAAGGAAGGCAGAGAGGGAGGAAAGGAAGGAAGGAGACAGGGAGGAGAAACAGAAAAAGAGAGAAUGAAAGAAGUGGAAAUCAAGAAAGAAACAACAUAAGAUUCUACAGAGAGGACUCAUUAUAGGCAAAAUAAGUAAAAGAAAUUUCUUUUGGCAUUGUCCUAUCUCCCUUGCAUUCUCAUCUACUAAGCCUUUUCUUCCCUGUGGGCAAUAUUAUUGGCAUGAGUAAACUCUCACCUUAAUAUUCCUAAUAACCAUAAGUUUGUCCUCUACUCCCUAAAACUACUGCCGUGUGUGCCAUGCUCCAAAGUAAUCUCUUAUUCUCACUUCGUAACCUUUCAUCUCAGCUGUGUGUCAGUUAAGAAGAAUUUCAUCAAACUAAGCCUCUUGGAUUUUAAAAGAAUGCUCUUGCCCAGUUAUAUCUUUAGUUGGCAUCAUUUCAGGUAUGAAAAGGCUCUGCUCUAUGUGCCCUUAUCAAUCCUGAAAGAGCUAUCUCCCCAAGCAAAAUGAGAAGGACAAUCAUAACUGGCUCAAGGCUAGUCCAAUCUGGCUCUGUCCUUAGAUCCAAAAAGUUGAAGUUGUAAGUGACCCUAGAAAUGAUCUAUUUCACACUUAUUGUCCAGACAAUGAAACUCCAGUGGAGAGUGGAUAGGACCCUUCUAGGGUCGCAUGAUUGCUAGUGGCAAAGCCAGGUCUGAAUCAUAUCACUGCUUAUGGAGAACUUGUUGCCCUCACCAUUGUCCUCAAAUUUCUCCUGUUGACAGCAGGAUCCCUCAGAGAAAAGAUAGCUCCAGCCAAAGAACUCAGUGUAGCCCCAUGAACUCUCCAAAUAAUCAUAAACACAGCUAUAGUAGACAAGAAAGGCUAUCUUCUCAUGACCCUUUCUGUGGUUAAAAUCCUGAAAAACUGGGCACUACGGCUAUAUUCCAAACAUUCUUGCAAAUAGUAUUUCCAGACACAGACAAUGAUUCUCAGAGAUUCUCACCAUAGACGGUGAGGCAGGCCGUUCCUGAGAUCUUCCCAAAACCAAAGGUAUUGAAGAGACACAUGUAAC
Molecule: long non-coding RNA, 2438 nt
Filed under: Homo sapiens (human)
Lineage: Eukaryota; Metazoa; Chordata; Mammalia; Primates; Hominidae
Description: HSALNT0058732
Source: RNAcentral